UGAGGAAUAUUGGGCAAUGCCCGCAAGGGUGACCCAGUAACGCCGCGUGGAGGAUGAAUGUCGUAAGAUUGUAAACUCCUGUUAGAGGGGAAGAAUAGUACCGGUUGGACCGGUAUAUGACUGUACCCUCAGAGAAAGCCCCGGCUAACUACGUGCCAGCAGCCGCGGUAAUACGUAGGGGGCAAGCGUUGUCCGGAUUUACUGGGUGUAAAGGGCGCGCAGGCGGGAUAAAAAGUCAGUGGUGAAAUCCUACAGCUUAACUGUAGAACUGCCUUUGAUACUUUUAUUCUUGAGUUCGGGAGAGAGAGACGGAAUUCCAGGUGUAGUGGUGAAAUACGUAGAUAUCUGGAAGAACACCAGUUGCGAAGGCGGUCUCUUGGUCCGACACUGACGCUGAGGCGCGAAAGCGUGGGGAGCAAACA
This 422-nucleotide ribosomal RNA is filed under the name uncultured bacterium. RNAcentral's name for it is "bacterial SSU rRNA". It matches the Rfam family "Bacterial small subunit ribosomal RNA", at positions 355 to 774 of the family's 1533-position model. The record is from RNAcentral.